GUCUACAGCCAUGCCACCCUGAACAUGCCCGAUCUUGUCUGAUCUCGGAAGCUGAGUAGGGUCAGGCUUGGUUAGUACUUGGAUGGGAGACCACCUAGAAAGACCGGGUGCUGUAGGUG
RNAcentral lists this ribosomal RNA (119 nucleotides) under Pteropus alecto (black flying fox). Lineage: Eukaryota; Metazoa; Chordata; Mammalia; Chiroptera; Pteropodidae. The record is from RNAcentral.